This 429-nucleotide ribosomal RNA is filed under the name Chloroflexota bacterium. Its description in RNAcentral is "Chloroflexi bacterium partial 16S ribosomal RNA". It matches the Rfam family "Bacterial small subunit ribosomal RNA", at positions 355 to 776 of the family's 1533-position model. The record is from RNAcentral. Lineage: Bacteria; Bacillati; Chloroflexota.
UAGGGAAUCUUCGGCAAUGGACGAAAGUCUGACCGAGCAACGCCGCGUGAGUGAAGAAGGGUUUCGGAUCGUAAAACUCUGUUGUUAGAGAAGAACAAGGACGUUAGUAACUGAACGUCCCCUGACGGUAUCUAACCAGAAAGCCACGGCUAACUACGUGCCAGAAGCCGCGGUAAUACGUAGGUGGCAAGCGUUGUCCGGAUUUAUUGGGCGUAAAGCGAGCGCAGGCGGUUUCUUAAGUCUGAUGUGAAAGCCCCCGGCUCAACCGGGGAGGGUCAUUGGAAACUGGGAGACUUGAGUGCAGAAGAUGAGAGUGGAAUUCCAUGUGUGGCGGUGAAAUGCGUAGAUAUAUGGAGGAACACCAGUGGCGAAAGCGGCUCUCUGGUCUGUAACUGACGCUGUGGCUCGAAAGCGUGGGGAGCAAACAGG